This 446-nucleotide ribosomal RNA is filed under the name uncultured bacterium. RNAcentral describes it as "partial 16S ribosomal RNA". It matches the Rfam family "Bacterial small subunit ribosomal RNA", at positions 338 to 795 of the family's 1533-position model. The record is from RNAcentral.
CCUACGGGUGACAGCAGUCGAGAAUCAUUCACAAUGGGGGAAACCCUGAUGGUGCGACGCCGCGUGGGGGAAUGAAGGUCUUCGGAUUGUAAACCCCUGUCAUGUGGGAGCAAAUUAAAAAGAUAGUACCACAAGAGGAAGAGACGGCUAACUCUGUGCCAGCAGCCGCGGUAAUACAGAGGUCUCAAGCGUUGUUCGGAAUCACUGGGCGUAAAGCGUGCGUAGGCUGUUUCGUAAGUCGUGUGUGAAAGGCGCGGGCUCAACCCGCGGACGGCACAUGAUACUGCGAGACUAGAGUGAUGGAGGGGGAACCGGAAUGCUCGGUGUAGCAGUGAAAUGCGUAGAUAUCGAGAGGAACACUCGUGGCGAAGGCGGGUUCCUGGACAUUAACUGACGCUGAGGCACGAAGGCCAGGGGAGCGAAAGGGAUUAGAUACCCGUGUAGUC